Molecule: ribosomal RNA, 444 nt
Filed under: uncultured bacterium
Lineage: Bacteria
Description: SSU rRNA
Rfam family: Bacterial small subunit ribosomal RNA
Source: RNAcentral
AGAACGAACGCUGGCGGCAGGCUUAACACAUGCAAGUCGAACGCUCCGCAAGGGGAGUGGCAGACGGGUGAGUAACGCGUGGGAACAUACCCCUCGGUUCGGAAUAACUCAGGGAAACUUGAGCUAAUACCGGAUACGGUCGAGAGGCGAAAGAUUUAUCGCCGAGGGAUUGGCCCGCGUCCGAUUAGCUAGUUGGUGAGGUAAUGGCUCACCAAGGCGACGAUCGGUAGCUGGUCUGAGAGGAUGAUCAGCCACAUUGGGACUGAGACACGGCCCAAACUCCUACGGGAGGCAGCAGUGGGGAAUAUUGGACAAUGGGCGAAAGCCUGAUCCAGCCAUGCCGCGUGAGUGAUGACGGCCUUAGGGUUGUAAAGCUCUUUCGUCAGGGACGAUAAUGACGGUACCUGAAGAAGAAGCCCCGGCUAACUUCGUGCCAGCAGCCGC